GGGGGCGCAACGGAUUCGACGGGAUCGAAUCGUGACAGGAAGGCGUGCCGGGUUCCGAGCUCCCGUUAAACGAUCGGAAAAACACAACUGCCAACACGCAGUUUGCAUACGCUGCUUAAUUAAAUAAGCGGCCGCUCCAGCCGUUGAGCCAGCGCGGCGGUGAGUGAGCGUCAUCUUGCUGGAUAGGUCGAGGGCUUCUGCUCGUAGCCUCAGAUCGAGAUCAAUCGGGCUGGACGGCCGUCCUUUCUGCCGGGUCUAGGGCGGCGGUCGAAACUCAAGAGCCGGCUACGCACGUAGUUCUUUUUGUUGCGGGCUUUCUCGGACGCGGGUUCAACUCCCGCCGCCUCCACCA
This 352-nucleotide transfer-messenger RNA is filed under the name Bryobacteraceae. Its description in RNAcentral is "SYKU01 sp009697455 Standard tmRNA". It matches the Rfam family "transfer-messenger RNA". Rfam says of the family: Bacterial tmRNA, also known as 10Sa RNA or SsrA, is named for its dual tRNA and mRNA-like properties. Its role is to liberate the mRNA from a stalled ribosome. To accomplish this part of the tmRNA is used as a reading frame that ends in a translation stop signal. The record is from RNAcentral. Lineage: Bacteria; Pseudomonadati; Acidobacteriota; Terriglobia; Bryobacterales. RNAcentral also lists the same sequence under 1 other name.